ACUCACCCCGUUCGACGCGCAGCCAAAACGCAACUUGACGUCCCAAAGCCCUGUAUCAAGAAUUGCAUUAAGAGCAAAGAUUGGAGAAAGAGUACAAGGGCACGGCUGCAGCUGGAUGGCAUAAAUGCCAAGAGAGAAGCAGUUAUCACCUGGGAAGAAAGUGCCUGGAGGGCCCUUCUCUCACUCUUCUAGUACUCCACACUGGGUCUGGAGUGGCUAGAAGCACUUCUAAUGGGGGGGGGGAGUGCCUGCCAUGGUCACAACAAGCGCACUUUGCCUGCUGGGAAUGAAGCAGCCAGGAACAGGAAGCACAAGGCUUGUUUUUUCCACUCUCUUGCUAAGAUAGGUGCAGCCGGAAGCUCACAUCCAUAGCAAGCGCCCCCACAGUGCAAGUGCUGCCCACCCUCCUGCUACAAGCACUUCUUUGAGAUUAAACGCUGCCAGAGAUGUCAAA
Rhineura floridana is the source of this 454-nucleotide long non-coding RNA. RefSeq lists it as uncharacterized. The record is from RefSeq and is a predicted model, not a curated record. NCBI's taxonomy places the organism in Eukaryota, Metazoa, Chordata, Lepidosauria, Squamata, Rhineuridae. The transcript has 2 exons.